CUUUAAUAUAAAUAACACUUAUAAGAUCAAGGAAGCGAUAGGUAUGUCAAAUCCAAAAGGAUGUGAUCACCAACAGAUGAAGUUUGCUGGUUACUUCUGUGAUUAUGCAGAUAACAACUCCUUGGUCAUAAAAACAUCUAUUUUCGGCAUGAAGACUUUGCAGUUACCGUUCGGUUCCCAGUCGGUCCCCAGCGGCACUUAGCCGCGAUUCCAUGGAACUAUUUUCACCAUGAAGACUUUGCGGUUCCCGUUCGGUCCCCAGCGGCACUUAGCUGCGAUUCUAUGGAACUAUUUUCGGCUAGGGGACCAUGCGUGCGGUCGGUCAAAUUAUGACUUCCAUGAAAUUCCUGAACCCCUGAAUCGAUGAGGUUGAUUUUUGGAUAUGUUGGUCACCCAGACUGGGACUAUCGGGGGAUGUAACUUUUGUGGGGGUUUAUGUAUUUUUAAGGUACUUUUGGGGUGUUUGGUAAAUGUGUGUUUUUUUGUGCCUGGAGAUAAUUGAGUUUAAUACUAUGCUUGACGCCAUUAUCUCCCAGGCACAGGGGAGGGAUUAUCGUAUCAUGUAUGGGAGUGUCCUGGAUCUGAGAGCUAAUGUAUUUGUGUGUAUCUUUUUACUGUAGUCUUCUCUCAGAUCCAGGGGGGAGUGCCCCUUGCAUGGGGACUGCAUAUAAGGGGAAAGGGCUGUUCCAGUGUGGAGGAUUCAACUGGGAACGUCCUUGUAAGGACUAGAGCUCCCAAGACUGAGUGUCAGCCAGUUCCUGGGGGUGUCUAGAGUGAAUCCCCCCUUCGGCUCCAGGAGGGAGCGGUUCCAGGACUAGAGACUAACAGACAGCCACUGGGGACGCUUCUGGAAUCCAAAUUGACUUUUGGUCCAUUAUCUGACGCUGAACGUCCUCACGGACCUCCAGCGUCAGA
Molecule: non-coding RNA, 915 nt
Organism: Pelobates cultripes (western spadefoot toad)
Lineage: Eukaryota; Metazoa; Chordata; Amphibia; Anura; Pelobatidae
Source: the annotation of a GenBank genome assembly